CCUACGGGUGGCUGCAGUGGGGAAUUUUGCGCAAUGGGGGAAACCCUGACGCAGCGACGCCGCGUGGAGGACGAAGGUCUUCGGAUUGUAAACUCCUUUUAUGAGGGAAGAUAAUGACGGUACCUCAUGAAUAAGCCACGGCUAACUCUGUGCCAGCAGCCGCGGUAAGACAGAGGUGGCAAGCGUUGUUCGGAAUUACUGGGCUUAAAGGGCGCGUAGGCGGUAUGGUAAGUCUGGAGUGGAAUCCCAGGGCUCAACCCUGGAAUUGCUUUGGAAACUGCCAAACUUGAGUCAGUGAGGGGAGGGCGGAAUUCCUGGUGUAGCAGUGAAAUGCGUAGAUAUCAGGAGGAAGGCCGGUGGCGAAGGCGGCCCUCUGGCACUUGACUGACGCUGAGGCGCGAAAGCGUGGGGAGCAAACAGGAUUAGAUACCCUAGUAGUC
This 440-nucleotide ribosomal RNA is filed under the name uncultured Nitrospirota bacterium. RNAcentral describes it as "bacterial SSU rRNA". It matches the Rfam family "Bacterial small subunit ribosomal RNA", at positions 338 to 795 of the family's 1533-position model. Lineage: Bacteria; Pseudomonadati; Nitrospirota. The record is from RNAcentral.